Molecule: long non-coding RNA, 480 nt
Organism: Bubalus bubalis (water buffalo)
Lineage: Eukaryota; Metazoa; Chordata; Mammalia; Artiodactyla; Bovidae
Exons: 4
Source: RefSeq, a predicted model, not a curated record
CGACCGGGGAGGCCUCAGUGUCUCCUCUCCUUCGGGAGAACGGAAGGACGCCUGCGGCCUACGAGAGAAUUCUGAAAAAGAUACAUACAGUACUUUAGUGUCAGUUCUUACAGAUGCUGCUUGGACUGCGGGAUGGCUAUACUUCUGUCUGAAAGCAUAAAGCACCUCAGGAUGAGUGGUGGACCUCGCGCCCAGAGUGAAGUGCCAGCACGAGACUGGUUGACAACUUUUAACACUAACUUGUACACAGACAAUCUCCUCCUUGCCCGACUGAUAUUCUAGAUACAAGGAGGCCAGGUCCCUGGGUUUGUAGCCAUUGUGAAUAGAACCACUGUGCAAAACUGCAUCCUCGUUUGCAUUUGGACGUAGAAUUUCAGAGCAACUGCCUAAAUACUGAAAGCAUGAUUGCUGGAUCCCAAGCCUUCAAUCUUUCCCAACAUCAGGGUCUUUUCAAAUGAGUCAGCUCUUCGCAUCAGGUGG